AUUGAAGAUUAAUUGAAUUUUUUAAAAUUUAGAAUUUAUCGAGGCUUGUGCAAACUAUGCGCUGUGUAACUGAACGCACUCUGCUGCUAUUACAGCCAACUUACCUCUGGCUGCAGCAACGAGUAGGUUAUUAGCGAGUAAAAAAUUCAAAAUGGUCGCCCUGUUUUGUUGAGUGCGCGAAGAAAAUUUCUGCUCCGCUUCAGAACUAAUUAUUUAUCAAUUGAAAAGGAAGAAAUUAAUAAAGUUUAGUGAAAAACAUUCAAUAUAUUCCAUACUUUCAUUACAAUAUAAAGAUUUCGCGCAAUUACAACAAAACAGUGCAGAAAUACUGUGAGAAAUAACACACCACAACUUCAUAUCGUGCGCAAAGUGUAUGUCAAAAAAGAAAAAAAGAAACGAAAAUUGUUCCCCCAUCUGCCUCUAAGCAUUUUUCGGUGCACAGCGACGGUGAAAAGCAAACAAGCGAAAAAGUAUUGAGUAUUGAACGUAUAUGCAUUGAGUGUGCAAAUAGCAACGGGCGACGAGAAAACAGUUUUCCUAAUAAUCUUUGUGUUAUGAAUAAUAUUGAUAUAAAAAAUUGAUUGCUUAAAAUUCUUGGAAGCCACGAGUUUAACCAAUACAACCAGAGCCAGUGUUUUACCUACAAAAAGUGAGGGAAAAUCCAAUCAAACAAAAGAAAGAAAUCGCGCUUCCAAUCAAGCACGUCUUCAAAGUAAGAGAACAAAGCACUUUAAGUGGCUUACCAGCGUUCAGCAGGAGGGAAGCGGUCAAGCAUAAAACAGCUUUGGAUACGCCGCAUUCCUCCUCGCCAUUAGGGCGGAGCAAAACGUUUAGCAAAUAUGGAUUAAUAGCAACUACAAAUGCCUACAGAAUUUACUUUUUAUUUUGCAAUUCAAGAUAUACUAUGUACAUAUAUGUAUAUAUUAUUUAAGUGUUACUUUUGUGUAUGUCAUGUUUGAACUACGUCAUUGUUCGCACAACUAUUUGUAAUAAAAGCACAAAAACAAACAUCAUUAUUAAACAGUUCGUAUGUAGUUAAUUAACAUCGUUUAGAAGCAUUUAAGUGAAACUCUUAACAAAAUUGUGCAAUUGCCAUAUAGUCAAUAACCUAGAUAAAUUGACAGUAUAUCUAACGUUAAUACUUCAAAAAAAAAAAAAAAGUUGUAUAAAGUGGCCAUUAUUGUGGUUUUACUUAUCCCUCAUUCACAUACAUUAUAAUCAGUGACGAGACAAGAGACAUUGUUAUCGGAAACGCAUAGAAAGCUGGCUGGAAGUUAAUAAUUUCAUAAACGCAACAAUUACACAAUUCGUCAAAAUUAAUGUUUACAUAUUUAAUCAUCAUAGAGGGCAAUAAAAAGCUUAACACUGGACCGGAAGCGUGUCUUUAAAGGGUAAUGGCGGCCUCCACUCAGGGAGAAAUUCGAGUGGGUCCCGGCCACCAGGUAAACGAUGUCUAUGCAAAAUUGCCCGAUUAUAAUCCAAUUUCAAGCUUCCCCGUUGACAAAGAGAGCGACGAACGCGAAUUAGAAGUACCAAGAUGGAAUCCUGGCAUUGUGGCCGAUGGCGAUUUGUUAAUGUUUCUGCGUGCAGCGCGCUCUAUGGCUGCAUUUCAAGGAAUGUGUGAUGGUGGUUUAGAAGACGGUUGUUUAGCUGCUAGUCGUGACGAUACAACACUUAACGCUUUGGAUAUCUUACACGAUUCUGGUUACGAUCCAGGUAGAGCAUUACAGGCACUCGUUAAGUGCCCGGUUUCCAAGGGCAUUGAUAAGAAGUGGACAGAAGACGAGACGAAGAAAUUUAUUAAGGGCUUACGGCAAUUUGGAAAGAAUUUCUUUCGCAUACACAAAGACUUACUACCGCACAAAGAGACACCCGAAUUGGUUGAAUUUUACUAUUUGUGGAAGAAGACACCGGGUGCCAAUAAUAAUCGACCGCAUCGUCGGCGCCGGCAAAGUGCCUUGCGUCGCAAUCGUGUCACACGCGCUAGUAAUACACCUCCGAAGAAGGAGGAUACACCGGAACCACAAACGGCGACGACGGCGUCUGCGGCGGCAGAUUCGACGCGCUCGUCGCCCGUUGUCUCCAAGGAGGAGAAUAGCUCUCUAACCGAGGACGAUAUCAGCGAGUGCGACAGCGAUUCCAGUCUUACAAACAAGAGGGAUGAAUCACCAUCUAGAAUGAGGACAAGGAAUAAACAACAGCAACAACAACAACAACAGAAUAAUAAUACAAAAGAACAAACAACACCACAAGUAGCAAACGGUAAACGACCCAAACGUGGUACUGAAACACCCGAUACAGUAACAGCGGCUGAUAGUCCAAAGACACCAACUAAAGGAGGUAAUAACGCAAGUGCAAACGCAAAUACCGAGAAUAAUACAACAACGACGGUGGCGGCGAAUAAACGUAAAGGCGGCAAGCAGGAUACGCCGAGCAAGAAGAAGCGUACCGAUGUGGAUGGUAGCGCAGGUUCUGGCAGUGGUGGUGGUAGUGGCGAUGUCACCGAUGACGGCAGCCUUAGUAAGGAUAGUAGUGCUAAGCAGCGUAAACGGCCAGAUAGUCCGGCGGAGGAGAGUAUGAACUCUGAUAGCCGGCCGGAUUCAGUGUUGGAUGAUGCCGAAUCGAAUACGACCGAUACCGUUGAGCAGUCACUGAAGGAUGGUAAAGACAGUUCGGCUGGUAAAGAGGAUAGUGGUGCAGCAGAUGGUGAUUCGAAGGCAGAAAUUAACGAGAAGCCAGAAAAACCGGCUGAAGACGUCAAAGAGACCAUCAAAAAUGACGAUGAAGAGACAAAUAUACAGGCACCUGUUACCGGACAACCUCCGGCAGCACCACCAUCUUCGCCAAGUGAUACCGUCGGUGUUAGCACAAAGGAACCAGCGUCAAAUGCAAACGAGGCUGAAGGCAUGAAUGUGGUCAGUUCGCCGCCGGUACCAAUGAAAGUGCCGACCAUAGCAACAGUUGAGGCGCUCAACGCUUCUAUUGGACGCGGCGAAUUGCGCACGGAACGUAAGGACUCCGUAGAGAAAAUGGAUAUGUCGGAAAGUAACGCAGUUGCGGUCGAUAUGGCGAAGGAGCAAGAGAUGAUGAAGAAGAUCGCCAAUAUGAAACAGGAGUCAAUGCAACAGCAGCAGCAGCACCAACAACAACAACAACAACAACAACAACAACAACAACAGCAACAGCAACAACAACUGAUGCCGCCGAACAACACCAAUUUGAGUAUGCCGGAAACUGCCGUUUUCAUAAAGAAAGAACCUUUAGAUGACUCUAUGGAUGCGACCUGCAAUCAGAAUAGUAACGAACCACAAGAUCUAAAGGUCAAAGUCGAAGUUAAAAAUGAAGAGUGCAAAAGUGGUUCUAGUGGCGGCAUGCCACCCACAUCGAUGUCUUCAACGGUUAAUGAUGCAACUGGUGGAUCUGAUGCUCCACCACAACCGCCGCACAUGCAUAUGCACAUGCCGCCUGGGGGCAUACAACCGCCACCUGGCUAUAUCAUGGACGGGCAGCUUAAGUAUGGACCACCACCGCAUCAAUCCAUGCCAAGCAAUGAUCAUAACGCACCCCCUACAUCGGGAAUGCCAUUAGGAGGACCACCACCAACGCACAAAUAUCCCGUUGAUAUGGAAAUGAAAUACAAUGAGUCUGCUGCUGCGGCAGCGGCGGCUGCUGCUGCUGCUGCUGGCAUUAAAUAUGAGGGUGGUAAGUUUGCUAUGCAGGAUAUAAAGUAUCCGCCACCGCCACUGGAACAUGCCAUGAAGUAUGGCACCGUGCAAGAUAUGCAAGUAGCGGCAGCGGCGGCGGCAGCUGCUGCAGCAGCGGGUAAAUAUGAUAUGAAAUUCGCACUGGAGCAACAGGGUAAAUAUCCUGGGGAUCUAUCGUUACAUCAGCAACCGCCUAAAGGUUUUCCGGGUGAACCCCUCAAACUUGCCGACAUGAAAGGCUCAGCCAUUUAUAACAUGCCAAAUGCUGAUGGUAAAUAUGCACCACCGGCCAAUCAGUCGGGCGACGGAGGUGGUUUGAAGUAUGCCGGACCUGGUGCACCUCAAGACCCACAACCACCAUCAACACACGGUGCGCCGCCUGGUGCCACGCCGCCACCGGGCAUUGCGAUGCCAAAACCGCACUACCAGCAUGAGGUGCAACAUCCAUUGGCGCGUUCCGCUUUUGAGUCGAGCUUAAUGUUGAAAUAUGGUGAUCCAAUGGUUGCUAAAUAUGGUUCACCACAAGAUUUGAAAUAUCCACCACCACCACAAAGCGGAAAUGAUGGUGGACCAAUGAAGCCGUCACCUUAUGCGGAAAAUCUUGUUAAAAGUUCACCGUAUGGACAGCAGGAACCUGGUGGUCUAAAAUACCCGCCAUCGGAAAGUCCCAUAGAUGCGUCAUCUCGUUCGACCCCCGGGCAGGAUAGCCAAGGUAGCAAUAGUAGCUCACAACCGUCGUCGCAGCAGCAGCAAUUCCAGUCACCGCAUCCCUCUCCACACUUGCCCUCACCCGCCGGUGGUGGCUUGCCACCUGGCAUGCAUCCUCAAAAUCUGGUAUCCCCGCACGGACCGCCAACUCAUGGCCAAAUGAAUUCCGGUCUGCCAUCAGGGGUAUCUGGACCACCUCCGCCUGGUUCGAUGCAUCAUCCACACCUGACACCAUCACCAAACAACUCACAGCAAAUGCAGGGAUCACAUUCACAGUCCUCUGCUGCAUCUUCGAUGGCACCAACAUCGGUUGGCGCCCCACCACCGCUGUCAACAGUCGCACCCUCCGGCCUGCACCCUCAACACCUCCCGCCCAGCCAUUUGCAACAAUUACAUCGCCAGCAUCCUGAUAUGCCUUCUGGUAUGCAUCCACAUGCACCAAUUCCACUUACUCUGCAAGGACAUGAUCCGAGAGGAGGGCCACCACCAUCUUCGCACCAGAUGCCUCCACAGCCCAUGCAAUCGAAUACAGUGCGUACGCCAUCACCGGCGCAGCAACCACAAUCGCGCAAUUUACACGAGGAACGUAUGGGCAUCAAUAGUAGUACGCCAACUGGACAGCCGCGUGAGCCUCCAACAUCACAAGCUUCAAUGCCCCCGCAGCAAUCGCCACAUGCUCACCGCAGUUCUCCGUUGACUAGCAUGCCCGGCAACCCACCACCGGGCCUUAUUGGUCAUCCUAUGCCCAUACAUCCACAUCUCGCACAUUUACCACCCGGUCAUCCGGCCCAUGCGGCUGUCGCUGGUGUUGGCCAUCCUGGCCAUCCAAUAUUACAGCACUCGAUGGCUGGUCUUGCACCAGGUGCUGGUGGUCCAAUUGCUUUAUUGGCUGGACCACCCUCAUUGACUGGUAUGCCAGAAUCGGCACUAAGCAGACGCACUCCACCAUCGCAUAUACAACCGCCGCAUUCCUCGUCUGCACCGCCACACUCGUCUGUCGCUGUUAGUAUGUCUUCUACUACCACAUCUGCCAGCACUGCGUCAAUCACGAAUACAGUGCCAUCAUCUGCCUUCAGUCGUGCCAGUCCAAGUGUACAAGGGCCCAACUCCAGUAUAGGUGGCCCGCAAAAUAUCGGUGGCGGCAGCGGCGGUGGUAGUGGUAAUUCCGGCCUACCUGGCAACAGUAGUGCACCCGGAUCUACCGCGGCACAUCGUUCUACAUCGCCAGCCUCAAGUGGUGGCAGUUUAAGCCGACAAAGCCCUCUGCAUCCGGUACCGCAAAGCCCACUUAGCCAUCAUCCUUCAUCGUCGGCACUUUCGGCGGCAGCAGCUGCGGUAGCAGAACGUGAUCGUCAUGCGCUUUUACGACAACAAUCGCCGCACAUGACACCACCACCUGUAUCCAGCGCUUCCACACUGAUGGCCAGUCCAUUGAGCAAAAUGUAUUGUCCACAACCAAAUCAGCGUGUACUAGGCACUUCACCGCCACCACAUUUACGACCAGGCGCUUCGCCACCCGUAAUUCGACAUCCACAAAUGCCACUGCCAUUGCCAUUGAUCCCCACAGGCGCUGGUAUACCACAAAUAGCAGUACAUCCCGGUCAAUCGCCAUAUCCCCAUCCACUUCUGCAUCCAUCUAUGUUCUACUCCCCGCAUCAUCACAAUCCAUUCAACUAUGGUUACGGGCCAUAUGGACCCGGUUUUCCUGCAGCCUACAUGAAGCCACCACCUCCAGGUGGUCCACUCGACCCGGCCUCGGUGUUGGGUGGUCAUCAUCCUGGACUGCCGGGGCCGCCGCCAACACGGCCCGACGAUCCAGCUAUGGCUGCUGCAGCAGCAGUGGCUGCCGAAAAACAAGCAGUCGCUGCACAUCAACUUAAACAACAGCAACAACAUCAUCAGCAUCAACAGCAACAAGCAGCCGCACAAGCGCAAGCGCAAGCCCAGGCACAAGCUCAAGCGCAGGCUCAGGCGCAUGCGCAGGCACAAGCACAGGCUCAAGCACAAGCGCAAGCGCAAGCACAAGCGCAGGCUCAGGCACAGACACAGAACAAACCUCCAACACCAAAGACGCCACAGGGUAGUGGUAGUGGUGGCGGCGGCCCACCAGGUAAUUCACAUGCAACGCCAACAGGUCUGCCACCAGCCGGUUAUCCUGGCUCACAUUUAUCCGGUUAUCCGCCACCACCGCACUCCUCACCAUUCCAAGAUGGUCAACAGAUGGGUAUGAAGCCAACAUCGCAUAUGGAUGCGUUACGUGCACACGCACAUUCGGCAAACCUGGGUGGUCCGCAUCAUCCAACGGAGCCAUUACCAAUCGAUAUUGAGCCCGAUCCAGAGCCAGAAAUUCCCAGCCCAACGCAAAAUAUACAGCGUGGUCCUAGUCCCGAAGCCAAGCCAGACGAUACCGAAUGUCAUCGCUCGCAGUCAGCUAUCUUUGUACGGCACAUUGAUCGUGGUGACUACAAUUCCUGCACACGCACGGAUUUGAUUUUCAAGCCAGUCGCCGAUUCGAAAUUGGCGAGAAAGCGGGAAGAACGGGACCGCAAGCUGGCCGAAAAAGAGCGUGAGCGGCGUCAACAACAACAGCAACAACAACAGCAGCAGCAACAACAAGCUGUUGCAGCGCAGCAAGCUGCUCAGCAAGCCAAAAUGAAGGCCGAAUUGAAACCGCCAUAUGCAGAUACGCCGGCGCUGCGCCAAUUAUCCGAGUAUGCCAGACCACAUGUGGCAUUCAGCCCUGUUGAACAGAUGGUACCUUAUCAUCACCCAAUGGGGCCCAUGUAUAGUAGAGAGAGGGAAUUGGAGGAAAUCAAGAACGCACAAGCGGCCGCAGCCAGUCAAUCGCGUCUGGAUCCGCACUGGAUGGAAUAUUAUAGGCGUGGCAUGCAUCCAUCACAAUUUCCGCUCUACGCCAAUCCGGCUGCUAUUUCACAAAUGGAGCGCGAACGCCUCGGCAUACCGCCGCCACAUCACGUUGGCUUAGAUCCCGGCGAGCAUAUGAUACGAUUGACGAGAGAAUAUCAUGCACACUCUCAUACUCAUUUACAUUUGCCUUUGCCUUCACAGCCGCAACCACCGGAGGCCGGAUUUCAACUGCCACCGAAUGUUGGUCAAUAUCCACGCCCAAGUAUGCUUAUGCCUAGAGAACCGGAUGUUUUGCUGCGCAUGUCCUACGCGGAUCAACUUCAGUAUUUGCAGGCUGCUGAGUUCCAGCGACAGUCAUUGCACGAGCAAUAUUUUAGACCACGGCCCAGAUAAAUGGACCACUAUGGUAGAACGUUUUAUAGUACGCGUUAAAAUUUUGAAAACCAAUGGCAUAUGGAUUGAAGAAGCUGAUUAUAUGGAAUUAAAAAAAUAUAUAUAUAUAUGUAUAUAUACAUAUAUACGAACAACCCAACUAUUGUAUAACGCUUGGAUAAUACAACAAUAGAUAGUUGCUAAUGCUUUUGUAAAUGUAAUAUGCAACACCUAAACGCAGUACUUCCUUAAACAACAUUCGUUCUACCGUUUUAACUGUAAAAAUGUAAAAAAGAAAGAAAUUCAACAAUGAUGGCAAUCAACAUUACCGGCAUUGACACAAGAAAUGACAACACAAUGACGAAGAGGAAGCAGUCAAUGCAGCAGCAGCAACGCUAACACGACUUUCCUUCACUCCGCUCCGCUCCACUCCACUCCACCCCACACCACACCAUACUGUUCCACUUCACUCAAUUUCACUUGACUCGUAUUCAACUGUGCGCCGUAAAGUUGUUAUGAAAUGUUAUGCUUCAUUUUACUUCCAUGAAAUGUGCGAAAACUUAAUUUGUUGUUAUCUCAGCUCUCAGCUCUCGGAUUGUAUAGUUUGUACAUUUCAUUUGUGUGUGUGUAAAUGAUUAAUUCGUUGCAAAUUGUUGACAGUUUUACCCUUCGACGGCGAAAAAAAUCAGCUACGUUAGUUUCUACUUGGCGUAAAUAGCACAAAAAAUUCAAGUCCGUCGUGAAACAUUCAAACGCAAGCAGCAACCAAAAUUUUUUUAAACUAAAUUUAAUAACACAAAACCAAAAA
RNA transcript from Ceratitis capitata (Mediterranean fruit fly), 8460 nucleotides. It is a transcript of the gene named arginine-glutamic acid dipeptide repeats protein, with no coding region annotated. The transcript is spliced from 16 exons. The record is from RefSeq and is a predicted model, not a curated record. NCBI's taxonomy places the organism in Eukaryota, Metazoa, Arthropoda, Insecta, Diptera, Tephritidae.